RNAcentral lists this ribosomal RNA (407 nucleotides) under uncultured bacterium. RNAcentral's name for it is "partial 16S ribosomal RNA". It matches the Rfam family "Bacterial small subunit ribosomal RNA", at positions 30 to 526 of the family's 1533-position model. The record is from RNAcentral.
AUUGAACGCUGGCGGCAGGCCUAACACAUGCAAGUCGAGCGGAGCGGGGGACGGGUGAGUAAGGCUUAGGAAUGUGCAUGGGAGCGGGGGAUAACGUCCGGAAACGGGCGCUAAUACCGCAUACUAUCACAUUAGCCUAUGCCGGAAUAGCUAGUGGGUGGGGGAAAGGCAUACCAAGGCGACGAUCCGUAACUGGUCUGAGAGUAUGAUCAGUCACACUGGAACUGAGACACGGUCCAGACUCCUACGGGAGGCAGCAGUGGGGAAUAUUGGACAAUGGGCGCAAGCCUGAUACAGCCAUGCCGCGUGUGUGAAGAAGGCCUUCGGAUUGUAAAGCACUUUCAGUUGGGAGGCGUUACUAGCAGAAUAAGCACCGGCUAACUUCGUGCCAGCAGCCGCGGUAAUAC